AGUGAACGCUGGCGGUAGGCCUAACACAUGCAAGUCGAACGGCAGCACAGUAAGAGCUUGCUCUUACGGGUGGCGAGUGGCGGACGGGUGAGGAAUAAACCGGAAUCUACUUUUUCGUGGGGGAUAACGUAGGGAAACUUACGCUAAUACCGCAUACGACCUACGGGUGAAAGCAGGGGAUCUUUGGACCUUGCGCGAUUGAAUGAGCCGAUGUCGGAUUAGCUAGUUGGCGGGGUAAAGGCCCACCAAGGCGACGAUCCGUAGCUGGUCUGAGAGGAUGAUCAGCCACACUGGAACUGAGACACGGUCCAGACUCCUACGGGAGGCAGCAGUGGGGAAUAUUGGACAAUGGGCGAAAGCCUGAUCCAGCAAUACCGCGUGGGUGAAGAAGGCCUUCGGGUUGUAAAGCCCUUUUGUUGGGAAAGAAAAGCAGCAGGUUAAUACCCCGCUGUUCUGACGGUACCCAAAGAAUAAGCACCGGCUAACUUCGUG
This 492-nucleotide ribosomal RNA is filed under the name uncultured bacterium. RNAcentral describes it as "partial 16S ribosomal RNA". It matches the Rfam family "Bacterial small subunit ribosomal RNA", at positions 29 to 507 of the family's 1533-position model. The record is from RNAcentral.